UACGAAGGGGGCUAGCGUUGCUCGGAAUCACUGGGCGUAAAGCGCACGUAGGCGGCUUUUUAAGUCAGAGGUGAAAUCCUGGAGCUCAACUCCAGAACUGCCUUUGAUACUGAGAAGCUUGAGUCCGGGAGAGGUGAGUGGAACUGCGAGUGUAGAGGUGAAAUUCGUAGAUAUUAGGAAGAACACCAGUGGCGAAGGCGGCUCACUGGCUCGGUACUGACGCUGAGGCGCGAAAGCGUGGGGAGCAAACAGG
This 253-nucleotide ribosomal RNA is filed under the name uncultured bacterium. RNAcentral describes it as "partial 16S ribosomal RNA". It matches the Rfam family "Bacterial small subunit ribosomal RNA", at positions 524 to 776 of the family's 1533-position model. The record is from RNAcentral.